This 462-nucleotide ribosomal RNA is filed under the name uncultured bacterium. Its description in RNAcentral is "bacterial SSU rRNA". It matches the Rfam family "Bacterial small subunit ribosomal RNA", at positions 1 to 507 of the family's 1533-position model. The record is from RNAcentral.
AAAACCACGAGUUUGAUCCUGGCUCAGAACGAACGCUGGCGGCAGGCCUCAAACAUGCAAGUCUAGGGGGUGUAGCAAUACAUCACCGGCGGACGGAUGCGUAACGCGUGGGAAUGUACCUAUUGGUUCGGAACAACUGAGGGAAACUUCAGCUAAUACCGAAUGUGCCCCGUAAGGGGAAAGAUUUAUCGCCAAUGGAUCAGCCCGCGUAGGAUUAGCUAGUUGGUGAGGUAAUGGCUCACCAAGGCUCCGAUCCUUAGCUGUUCUGAGAGGAAGAUCAGCCACACUGGGACUGAGACACGGCCCAGACUCCUACGGGAGGCAGCAGUUGGGAAUCUUGGACAAUGGGGAAACCCUGAUCCAGCCAUGCCGCGUGAGUGAUGAAGGCCUUCGGGUUGUAAAACUCUUUCGACGGGGACGAUAAUGACGGUACCCGUAGAAGAAGCUCCGGCUAACUUCGUG